RNAcentral lists this ribosomal RNA (440 nucleotides) under uncultured bacterium. RNAcentral describes it as "partial 16S ribosomal RNA". It matches the Rfam family "Bacterial small subunit ribosomal RNA", at positions 338 to 795 of the family's 1533-position model. The record is from RNAcentral.
CCUACGGGUGGCAGCAGUGGGGAAUAUUGGACAAUGGGGGGAACCCUGAACCAGCGACGCCGCGUGAGUGAAGACGGAUUUCUGUAUGUAAAACUCUAUCCGCAGGGAGGAAAAUGACGGUACCUGACUAAGAAGCCCCGGCUAACUACGUGCCAGCAGCCGCGGUAAUACGUAGGGGGCAAGCGUUAUCCGGAUUUACUGGGUGAAAAGGGGGCGUAGACGGUGCAGCAAGUCUGAUGUGAAAUGUCGGGGCUCAACCCCGGGACUGCCUUGGAAACUGUUGAACUGGAGUACAGGAGAGGUAAGCGGAAUGUCUAGUGUAGCGGUGAAAUGCGUAGAGAUUAGGAGGAACACCAGUGGCGAAGGCGGCUUACUGGACUGUAACUGACGUUGAGGCUCGAAAGCGUGGGGAGCAAACAGGAUUAGAUACCCCAGUAGUC